AAUUUUGGACAAUGGGGGAAACCCUGAGCCAGCCAUCACGCGUGUAUGAUGAAGGCCUUCGGGUUGUAAAGUACUUUUGGCAGAGAAGAAAAGGUACCUCCUAAUAAGAGGUACUGCUGACGGUAUCCGCGGAAUAAGCACCGGCUAAAUACGUGCCAGCAGCCGCGGUAAUACGUAGGGUGCAAGCGUUAAUCGGAAUUACUGGGCGUAAAGCGUGUGUAGGCGGUUCGGAAAGAAAGAUGUGAAAUCCCAGGGCUCAACCUUGGAACUGCAUUGUUAACUGCCGAGCUAGAGUAUGUCAGAGGGGGGUAGAAUUCCACGUGUAGCAGUGAAAUGCGUAUAUAUGUGGAGGAAUACCGAUGGCGAAGGCAGCCCCCUGGGAUAAUACUGACGCUAAGACACGAAAGCGUGGGGAGCAAACAG
Molecule: ribosomal RNA, 423 nt
Filed under: uncultured bacterium
Lineage: Bacteria
Description: partial 16S ribosomal RNA
Rfam family: Bacterial small subunit ribosomal RNA
Source: RNAcentral